Molecule: ribosomal RNA, 483 nt
Filed under: uncultured bacterium
Lineage: Bacteria
Description: partial 16S ribosomal RNA
Rfam family: Bacterial small subunit ribosomal RNA
Source: RNAcentral
AUUGAACGCUGGCGGCAGGCCUAACACAUGCAAGUCGAGCGGAUGAAGGGAGCUUGCUCCUGGAUUCAGCGGCGGACGGGUGAGUAAUGCCUAGGAAUCUGCCUGGUAGUGGGGGAUAACGUCCGGAAACGGGCGCUAAUACCGCAUACGUCCUGAGGGAGAAAGUGGGGGAUCUUCGGACCUCACGCUAUCAGAUGAGCCUAGGUCGGAUUAGCUAGUUGGUGGGGUAAAGGCCUACCAAGGCGACGAUCCGUAACUGGUCUGAGAGGAUGAUCAGUCACACUGAAACUGAGAAACGGUCCAGAUUCCUACGGGAGGAAGCAGUGGGGAAUAUUGGACAAUGGGCGAAAGCCUGAGCCAGCCAGGCCGCGUGUGUGAAGAAGGUCUUCGGAUUGUAAAGCCCUUUAAGUUGGGAGGAAGGGCAGUAAGUUAAUACCUUGCUGUUUUGACGUUACCAACAGAAUAAGCACCGGCUAACUGCGU